Long non-coding RNA from Monodelphis domestica (gray short-tailed opossum), 343 nucleotides. RefSeq lists it as uncharacterized. The record is from RefSeq and is a predicted model, not a curated record. NCBI's taxonomy places the organism in Eukaryota, Metazoa, Chordata, Mammalia, Didelphimorphia, Didelphidae.
CUUUUUGUUGCUUUGGUGAUGGAGCUUGAGUUGGAGGAACUGGAAACGUGGGUCUAGGUGGGACUGCUUCCCUUAGGCAACCAUGUGACUAUCAACACCAGUAGAGACAUUUCAGAGCUGGCAUGGAUCCUAGAGAAUGAAAAGACCAAAUAUUUCAUCAAGAUUAGUCUUCAGAAAAGGCAACACAAAGAACCACUAUAAAGGACCUCAGUAGCCUUCUAAUCCUUCUCUAGCUAUGUUUAAUUUCAUUCCUGUAAUAUCUAGAAAUAUGGACUUAAACUAACUUUUAGCCAUAGUGUAACUGUCAAGAAGAAUGAAAAUCUUGGGCAAGCCACUUAAUUGA